RNAcentral lists this ribosomal RNA (460 nucleotides) under uncultured bacterium. RNAcentral describes it as "partial 16S ribosomal RNA". It matches the Rfam family "Bacterial small subunit ribosomal RNA", at positions 338 to 795 of the family's 1533-position model. The record is from RNAcentral.
CCUACGGGAGGCAGCAGUGAGGAAUAUUGGUCAAUGGACGAGAGUCUGAACCAGCCAAGCAGCGUGAAGGAUGACUGCCCUAUGGGUUGUAAACCUCUUUUGUCUGGGAAUAAAAUGUUCCACGUGUGGGAGUCUGCAUGUACCAUAUGAAUAAGGAUCGGCUAACUCCGUGCCAGCAGCCGCGGUAAUACGGAGGAUCCGAGCGUUAUCCGGAUUUAUUGGGGUUAAAGGGUGCGUAGGUGGAUCGUUAAGUCAGUUGUGAAAGUUUGCGGCUCAACCGCAAAAUUGCAGUUGAAACUGGCAGUCUUGAGUGCAGUAGAGGUAGGCGGAAUUCGUGGUGUAGCGGUGAAAUGCGUAGAUAUCACGAAGAACUCCGAUUGCGAAGGCAGCUCACUGGACUGCAACUGACGCUGAGGCUCGAAAGUGUGGGGAUCAAACAGGAUUAGAUACCCGAGUAGUC